AUUACCAGAGCUCAGACAGCAGAACCCUGGGAGGCCCUGCUGCACAGUGCGCAUGUGAAAAACAUGAAAAGAAGAUGCAUCAUUGGGCUCUUCUCACUUCAGAGGGCCCCACAACAUCUGCAACCCUCCAGCUCCACCCUACCUUUGGUUCUGAAGAUGCUGCUAAACAUAACUCUGUUUUCGGGAACCCAAGAGGCAUCUGGACUGUCACCCUACCAACUUGCUCACACCUUCUGAAACCAACCCAGAAGACAGGAAUUCACACUUGGUCUGCCCAGCUUCCCUAGAGCAGACACCUGCAGACUGAGGGGCUGGAACACAAGCUGCGCCGAAAGAACUCUCCCCCAACCCCACCACCACCAUCACCUAUGACAAAAUCUGCUUUUGCUCCAGGGUUUCCUCAGCAACUGACACCACUGUCCACCCAAUUCUGGGAGCUGAUAACCUAGGUGGUCCAUCUUCUAUUCCCCCCCAGCACACUCACCCACUCACACACAGGAGGUAUCAACGGUGUGUGACAAUCCACGGGAGCCAACUCAAGUGCCAGACCAGAGUCUUCUGAGGUGUUUAAUGCCAACUUUUCCUAUGGUAUGUGUCAAAGCCACCUCCAAUUUGUUUUAGUCAGUACUUUCUGGGCACCUACUGUGUGCCAGAAUGUGCACCAGGUUGAGAGGCAGGGGGAGGUGACAGCAAUAGGCAAGAUGGCUCCUGACUUGAAGGAGCUCCCUGCUGAGGGUAUGAGAACCUAAGUGAAAACUACCCUGGUUCACAGCUGUCUCAGAGACUUGCUCCUCCAGUGGCUUCAUGCAGAGCUUUACUGGUGAACAGCCUCUUCUCACUCUCCUGCUCCUGUCACUGCGGACAACCCGCAUCAUGUCUGAAGUGCAUCCAGAGCACCCUGGUCCCCGAUCCUGCUACCCUGGGAUAUCCUUUCCCCAUUUGCUUUCUCUGAAGGCUCUACAGCUCUGAGAGCCCUGUGGCUCAUGCCUGAGAUUGGUCAGCCCUCAGCCCUCAGCAGCGGCUGCAGACCUGGAGCCAAAUGCCUCCUGGGUCCAGUGGCAGUCAGGAGGCCUCCCUGAGUGCCCCGCACACCCCCUUACCAUGCUGCAGGGGCGGUCCUCCAUGGCACACCCGGCUCUGUCCCAGUGACAAAAUGCAGACAGCUCUGACUCCAGGAAGGCAGUGACUGGCUCUGCCUCGAACUACAAUAAACUGCUAUCAGACCUCAGAGUCACUGCCGGGGGCCUCAGAGAGGGAUGAGGGGAGGAAGCAGAGGGCUGAGGGCUUCAUGACAGUCCGCAGGCUGAGCCAAGUCUCCCUUGCUGUGCGGCGCAUGGCGUGUGCUACCACAGGCCCUAGGCCCUGCUGGGCUGGCUUGUGUGUUUUCUUGGCUCUGGGAGCUGGAAGCAGGGUUACGUAAGCAGCUGAGCAGAUGUGAGCCUGUCCUUGGCUCCCCCGGCUAAAGCCCCGCCACGUGGGCCUCUCGGCUGGGAGUCCAGGUCACGGCCUUGCGUGUAAGGCGCUCAAUAACUUCAAUGUGUGAGCUCAACUCAGACAAAUUCCACCGCUCCCUUGCCCGGCAUGGCAAACCCAAACACACACAUGCCCCUCCACUGAAGCCCUGCUAAUCUUGAGCCAACCCAGCACGGACUCCCUGCCUCACUCUCAUGCUGGCUGAGCCACUAGUUCAUUCCUCUUGCCUCAGCAAAAACAGGCUGGAACAUCUAGUCACCCCUUCCCAACCAGCUGGCCAGUGGCUCAAGAUACAAUCCUUGGCCUGAUGCCGGAUGGUGAGAAUGUUUCACUAGCCAGUGACAAAACGGUAAAAGUGAACACAAUGUACGUUGUUCUUCAUCAAGCUAAAUGUAACCAAUGUACUGGAAGUGUCCCUUUCUCAAUAAGCAAGUGUCUUCCAAAAUAAAGAUUUCAGGGACUCCUGGGUGGCUCAGUCAGUUAAGUGUCUGACUCUUGAUUUCAGCUCAGGUCAGUGUCUCACGGUUCAUGAGUCCAAGCUCCAUGCUGGUCUCCACACUGACAAUGCAGAGCCUGCUUGGGAUUCUCUCUCACUCUCACUCUCUCUGCCCCUCCCACACACUCUCAGUCACUCACUCUCUCUCUCAAAAUAAUAAAUUAAAAAGCUUAAA
Long non-coding RNA from Neofelis nebulosa (Clouded leopard), 2144 nucleotides. RefSeq lists it as uncharacterized. Lineage: Eukaryota; Metazoa; Chordata; Mammalia; Carnivora; Felidae. The record is from RefSeq and is a predicted model, not a curated record. The transcript is spliced from 2 exons.